This 1028-nucleotide long non-coding RNA is filed under the name Prunus persica (peach). RNAcentral's name for it is "long non-coding RNA (PPER_LNC007650)". Lineage: Eukaryota; Viridiplantae; Streptophyta; Magnoliopsida; Rosales; Rosaceae. The record is from RNAcentral.
GAAGCUCUCAGGUAUAAUUUUUGUACUGCACUAUUAUCUAUACUACUAACCACUAACAAAAAUGGACCCUUGGUAAUACUAAACAUAUUAUCAGUGGGAGACCGUUACUAAUACUAACAUUUUUCUUAUUUUAUUCGGUGGUGGUUUUACCCCAUAUUUAUUUUAUUUACUGUAUGGUGUAGGUUUAUUACCCAUACAUGCACCUUUACUUUAUCGCAAAUUUACUUUACCGCACAUUUAUUUUAUUUACUGUAUGGUGUAGGUUUAUUACCCAUACAACAAUAUUUAUUUAAAAGGGUGGUGCGGGUUUAUCGUCCACGCCUUUGCUUUUAUUUAAAUGUAUGGAGCAGAAUUAGUGCCCAUACAAGCACGUUUACUUUACCGCACAUUUAUUUUAUUUACUGUAUGGUGUAGGUUUAUUACCCAUACAACAGUAUUUAUUUAAAAGGGUGGUGCGGGUUUAUCGUCCACGCCUUUGCUUUUAUUUAAAUGUAUGGAGCAGAAUUAGUGCACAUACAAGCACGUUUACUUUACCGCACAUUUAAUUUUAUUUACGGUAUGGUGCGGGAUUAACGUCCAUACAGCAAGCUAUUUAAUUUAUUUAAGGUAUGGUGCGGGAUUAACGUCCAUACAGCAAGCAAUUUAAUUUAUGAAUUUAUUUUACCGCACAUUUACAUUUAUUUAAAAGUAUGGUGUGGGUUUAUCGUCCAUACCAGUAAUUUAUUUAUCAGCAAUUUAUUUUAUGGAUUAAUUGUGCUGUAUGAUGAGUUUUUACAGUAUGCAGAUCAGGACCAGAAGUUCCUUGAUCCUCAUCAUACAAUUACAUCAGGACUUGAAGAUCCUUGAUGAUGAUGAGGGCUGGCAGUCUCUCCGGUACUGUAUUUGUAAACAUGUAAUCGGACUUAAGGGUCCUUGAUCCCUGACAUGUAAAUAAGGACCUAGAGUUCCUUAAUGAUGUAACAGUACCGUAUUGGUUCAUAGUGCCGUACACAUUGAUGAUAACUGUACUGGCAGAUGAAUAGAUACGU